AUAGGAUACAAGAGAUAACACCUGGCUUUCCAAAUGAGGCUUUGUUGUCUAUACCCAAACAUAAUAUAGUUAAAUGUUCUAUGAAUUUAUUCAUAGCAGAUAAUCAGGCAUAACACUGGACAUUUAAAAAAUAAACUUCUGGUUCAGUAUUUGUCUAAAUAUUACUUUUUUGAAUUUUUUUUUAGGGAAGAUGGCUUUAUGCUUUAUUGGCUUGUCUUGAAAAGCCUUUAUUACCUGAGGCUCAUUCACUGAUUCGGCAGCUUGCAAGAAGGUGCUCUGAAGUGAGGCUCUUAGUGGAUAGCAAAGAUGAUGAGAGGGUUCCUGCUUUGAAUUUAUUAAUCUGCUUGGUUAGCAGGUAUUUUGACCAACGUGAUUUAGCUGAUGAGCCAUCUUGAUGUAGCUGAUCUCUCAGGGAUAGAAGAUAUUUCUCAUGAAGGCAGCCUAACUGAGGAAAGCAAUACCAAUUCAAGUACAGACUGCAACACAUCUUCAACACUAUGUGAAGGGUUCACAUCUUAACCUGUGCAAUUCAGAUUGAUACUCAGAAUAUGGGUUGUAUUGAUUUGAACAUCUGAAAUAUCAAUGGAAAAUCCCACUCAGUUUUUGAUGAAUAGUUUGAACAGUUUUCUGUAAUCAAGCAGCUUGCAUAGAAAUUGUAUGAUGAA
RNAcentral lists this small RNA (665 nucleotides) under Pongo abelii (Sumatran orangutan). Its description in RNAcentral is "retained intron". Lineage: Eukaryota; Metazoa; Chordata; Mammalia; Primates; Hominidae. The record is from RNAcentral.